Molecule: ribosomal RNA, 377 nt
Filed under: uncultured bacterium
Lineage: Bacteria
Description: bacterial SSU rRNA
Rfam family: Bacterial small subunit ribosomal RNA
Source: RNAcentral
UAAUACGUAGGGACCAAGCGUUGUUCGGAUUUACUGGGCGUAAAGGGCGCGUAGGCGGCUUGACAAGUCACUUGUGAAAUCUCCGGGCUUAACUCGGAACGGCCAAGUGAAACUGUCAUGCUAGAGUGCAGAAGGGGCAAUCGGAAUUCUUGGUGUAGCGGUGAAAUGCGUAGAUAUCAAGAGGAACACCUGAGGUGAAGACGGGUUGCUGGGCUGACACUGACGCUGAGGCGCGAAAGCCAGGGGAGCAAACGGGAUUAGAUACCCCGGUAGUCCUGGCCCUAAACGAUGAAUGCUUGGUGUGGCGGGUAUCGAUCCCUGCCGUGCCGAAGCUAACGCAUUAAGCAUUCCGCCUGGGGAGUACGGUCGCAAGGCUG